Molecule: ribosomal RNA, 492 nt
Filed under: uncultured bacterium
Lineage: Bacteria
Description: partial 16S ribosomal RNA
Rfam family: Bacterial small subunit ribosomal RNA
Source: RNAcentral
AGUGAACGCUGGCGGUAGGCCUAACACAUGCAAGUCGAACGGCAGCACAGUAAGAGCUUGCUCUUACGGGUGGCGAGUGGCGGACGGGUGAGGAAUACAUCGGAAUCUACUUUUUCGUGGGGGAUAACGUAGGGAAACUUACGCUAAUACCGCAUACGACCUACGGGUGAAAGCAGGGGAUCUUCGGACCUUGCGCGAUUGAAUGAGCCGAUGUCGGAUUAGCUAGUUGGCGGGGUAAAGGCCCACCAAGGCGACGAUCCGUAGCUGGUCUGAGAGGAUAAUCAGCCACACUGGAACUGAGACACGGUCCAGACUCCUACGGGAGACAGCAGUGGGGAAUAUUGGACAAUGGGCGCAAGCCUGAUCCAGCCAUACCGCGUGGGUGAAGAAGGCCUUCGGGUUGUAAAGCCCUUUUGUUGGGAAAGAAAAGCAGCAGGUUAAUACCCCGCUGUUCUGACGGUACCCAAAGAAUAAGCACCGGCUAACUUCGUG